GGAAAGGUGAAAAGAACCCCGAACAGGGGAGUGAAAUAGAACCUGAAACCAUACGCUUACAACCGGUCGGAGCAGCUUCGUGCUGUGACGGCGUGCCUAUUGAAUAAUGAGCCUACGAGUUACUAAUCACUAGCGAGGUUAAGUGCAAGGAUGCACGGAGCCGAAGCGAAAGCGAGUCUGAACAGGGCGUUUAGUUAGUGGUUGUAGACGCGAAACCUUGCGAUCUACCCUUGAGCAGGUUGAAGGUUGGGUAAAACCAACUGGAGGACCGAACGAAUAAGCGUUGAAAAGCUUCUCGAUGACUUGAGGGUAGGGGUGAAAGGCUAAUCAAGCUGGGAAAUAGCUCGUACUCCCCGAAAUGCCUUUUGGGGCAGCGUUGUAAUAAAGAGUCUACUGGAGGUAGAGCUACUGAUUGGAUGCGGGGGCUUCACCGCCUACCAAAUCCUGACAAACUCCGAAUGCCAGUAGUAUGAUUUACAGCAGUGAGUGACUGGGUGCUAAUGUCCAGUCGCAAAAGAGGAACAACUCAGACCAGCAACUAAGGUCCCGAAGAAUAUGCUAAGUUGAUCUAACGAUGUUUUGUUGCAGAGACAGCUAGGAUGUUAGCUUGGAAGCAGCUAUUCAUUCAAAGAGUGCGUAACAGCUCACUAGUCGAGCGACAAAGCGUGGAUAAUAAACGGGCAUCAAGUAUACCACCGAAGUUCUGGGCACGAAAGUGCGGUAGGGGAGCAUUCCAUUCAGCGUCGAAGCAGUUUCGUGAGGAAUUGUGGAGCGUAUGGAAAAGCAAAUGUAGGCAUGAGUAACGAUAAUGCGGGAGAGUAACCCGCACACCGCAAGACCAAGGUUUCCUGAUCAACGCUAAUCGGAUCAGGGUUAGUCGGGUCCUAAGGGUAAGCCGAACGGCGAUCUCGAUGGAUAAUCGGUUAAUAUUCCGAUACUAACAUAUACCUCGAUGGAGAGACGAAGGAACGUAAGUGCCGCCACCUGACGGAAUAGGUGGUUAAAGGGCGUAGGUAUAGGGGCAGAUUAAGAGUUAGUCCUUGCUGAAACCUGACAGUACAGAGAGCCUACGGGCAAUUUGAUAGAGCACCCAAGUCGACUUCCGAGAAAAUCUUCUAAGUUAUAGUAUAUGUUACCCGUACCGUAAACCGACACAGGUGGUCGAGGAGAGUAUCCUAAGGUGCUCGAGUGAAUCACGGUUAAGGAACUAGGCAAAUUAACCCCGUAACUUCGGGAAAAGGGGUCCCUAUGAAAGUAGGGCGCAGCGAAGAGGUCCAGGCGACUGUUUAUCAAAAACACAGGGCUCUGCAAAUUCGAAAGAAGACGUAUAGGGCCUGACACCUGCCCGGUGCUGGAAGGUUAAGAGGGGAUGUCAUCGCAAGAGAAGCAUUGAAUCGAAGCCCCAGUAAACGGCGGCCGUAACUAUAACGGUCCUAAGGUAGCGAAAUUCCUUGUCGGGUAAGUUCCGACCUGCACGAAUGGUGUAACGAUCUGGACACUGUCUCAACCGUGAGCUCGGUGAAAUUGUAGUCCCGGUGAUGAUGCCGGGUACCCGCAACGGGACGAAAAGACCCCGUGAACCUUUACUAUAGCUUAACGCUGAAUUUGGGUACACAAUGUGUAGGAUAGGCCGGAGGCUUUGAAGCGGGCACGCCAGUGUUCGUGGAGCCGACGUUGAAAUACGGCCCUUUGUGUAUUUGAGUUCUAACCCUGCGAAGGGGACACCGUUUGGUGGGUAGUUUGACUGGGGUGGUCGCCUCCAAAAGCGUAACGGAGGCUUCCCAAGGUACCCUCAGCACGAAUGGUAACCGUGCGCGGAGUGCAAUAGCAUAAGGGUGCUUGACUGUGAGACAUACAAGUCGACCAGGUACGAAAGUAGGGUAUAGUGAUCCGGUGGUUCUGCGUGGACUGGCCAUCGCUCAAAGGAUAAAAGGUACUCCGGGGAUAACAGGCUGAUCGCCGCCAAGAGCUCAUAUCGACGCGGCGGUUUGGCACCUCGAUGUCGGCUCGUCACAUCCUGGGGCUGGAGAAGGUCCCA
This 2038-nucleotide ribosomal RNA is filed under the name human gut metagenome. Its description in RNAcentral is "bacterial LSU rRNA". It matches the Rfam family "Bacterial large subunit ribosomal RNA", at positions 508 to 2567 of the family's 2925-position model. The record is from RNAcentral.